Molecule: ribosomal RNA, 860 nt
Filed under: Yersinia sp. (in: enterobacteria)
Lineage: Bacteria; Pseudomonadati; Pseudomonadota; Gammaproteobacteria; Enterobacterales; Yersiniaceae
Description: bacterial SSU rRNA
Rfam family: Bacterial small subunit ribosomal RNA
Source: RNAcentral
CCCGUCAGAUGAACGCUGGCGGCAGGCCUAACACAUGCAAGUCGAGCGGCAGCGGGAAGUAGCUUGCUACUUUGCCGGCGAGCGGCGGACGGGUGAGUAAUGUCUGGGGAUCUGCCCGAUGGAGGGGGAUAACUACUGGAAACGGUAGCUAAUACCGCAUAACGUCGCAAGACCAAAGUGGGGGACCUUAGGGCCUCACACCAUCGGAUGAACCCAGAUGGGAUUAGCUAGUAGGUGGGGUAACGGCUCACCUAGGCGACGAUCCCUAGCUGGUCUGAGAGGAUGACCAGCCACACUGGAACUGAGACACGGUCCAGACUCCUACGGGAGGCAGCAGUGGGGAAUAUUGCACAAUGGGCGCAAGCCUGAUGCAGCCAUGCCGCGUGUGUGAAGAAGGCCUUCGGGUUGUAAAGCACUUUCAGCGGGGAGGAAGGGGUUGAGGUUAAUAACCUUAAUCAUUGACGUUACCCGCAGAAGAAGCACCGGCUAACUCCGUGCCAGCAGCCGCGGUAAUACGGAGGGUGCGAGCGUUAAUCGGAAUUACUGGGCGUAAAGCGUACGCAGGCGGUUUGUUAAGUCAGAUGUGAAAUCCCCGAGCUUAACUCGGGAACUGCAUUUGAAACUGGCAGGCUAGAGUCUCGUAGAGGGGGGUAGAAUUCCAGGUGUAGCGGUGAAAUGCGUAGAGAUCUGGAGGAAUACCGGUGGCGAAGGCGGCCCCCUGGACGAAGACUGACGCUCAGGUACGAAAGCGUGGGGAGCAAACAGGAUUAGAUACCCUGGUAGUCCACGCUGUAAACGAUGUCGAUUUGAAGGUUGUGGCCUUGAGCCGUGGCUUUCGGAGCUAACGCGUAAAUCGACCG